This 229-nucleotide unclassified non-coding RNA is filed under the name fungal sp. RNAcentral describes it as "partial internal transcribed spacer region". The stretch from base 1 to 46 matches the Rfam family "Eukaryotic small subunit ribosomal RNA", at positions 1786 to 1831 of the family's 1831-position model. Lineage: Eukaryota; Fungi. The record is from RNAcentral.
AAGUCGUAACAAGGUUUCCGUAGGUGAACCUGCGGAAGGAUCAUUAACAAAUUGAAUCCAAUUUGCAACCGUGUUUAGUAUUGUUUUCUGGUAAGAUUAGUUGCGUUCUUCGGAGCAAGACUGCUUAUCAGCCUUUUAAACCCCUUUAUUAACAUCUGAUUUACAUUGUGUGAGCAAUCAUGCAAACAAACUAAAACAACUGUUAACAACGGAUCACUCGGUUCUCACA